Molecule: long non-coding RNA, 1609 nt
Organism: Dama dama (fallow deer)
Lineage: Eukaryota; Metazoa; Chordata; Mammalia; Artiodactyla; Cervidae
Exons: 6
Source: RefSeq, a predicted model, not a curated record
AGUAAAUGCACAGAAUUUAGCGAGCAUCUCUUGGCUACCAGACGCAAUUUUAGGUCUUGGGAACACAGCUGUGAACAGGAUAAAAGGAACCUGUUCUUUGUUUUUUGAGCUUACAUCCAAUGAGAUGGGGAAAAGAGAGCUCAAGGGGGAGAUUUUUAACAAAGAAAGAUAUGGGAGAGAGCCUUGGGGAUUUAUGGGUGGAUGUUCCACUCCGAGUAAAGAAUUAGUGCCAAAGUCCGGAGCUGGAGCGUUGAAGGCCCUGGGGACCAAACCAAUGCGAUGGAGGUGGGGGCGGGGGUGGCAGUUGACCGAGGGCUUUGCAGGCUGGAGGAAGGACCUAGCAGACUACUAGAAGGCCUGCCUUUGGGAAGGAACAGCGUGGGACAGGCAAAGCUGCUACGGGCUAUGGCUACUCAGAUUUGUGAAGAAGGCCAGAAUCCGUCCCUUGAAAGCAGCUACUCUCUUGGUGCCUCUGCCUUCCUCCACAGCCAAGUUGGUCUCACCAGGAACAGCCUUUGCUGUGUUCCUGCACAGCCUAAGGAUUCUUUUAAGGGUUCUAUCAUCUACCUUCCUGGCGCCCCCAACUGGCUGUCGUGUAGUUUUUCCAACACUGAACUUUACCCCUGCCUAUGCUUUUUUAAAAAUAUAUAUAUUUAUUUAGCUGCAUCCUGUCUUAGUUGUGGCAUGUGGAAUCUAGUUCCCUGACCAGGGAUCCCACCACGGCUCUCCUGUAUUGGGAACACAAGAGUUUUAGCCACUGGACCACCAGGGAAGUCCCUACCCAUGCGUUUUGUUUCUCCUGUGAUGGUGGAAGAUCCUUGCCUUCACCCAUCUUAGUAUCCAGCUUGCUGCCCACAACUUGGGCCAUGACUAAGCCUCCUUGGGUACUCAGCACAAUGGAGAGGUGAGUGAUUCUAUGGUCAUCUCUGUGGAAUGUGAUGUGUUACACAAAAUUUCCUCUGUCCUCAAGAACACUUGCUCCUCCACCUCCUACCUCUGCUCUCCAAAGACACCCUCACUCAAUCACAUUAUUAUAUUUUUUUCCCCCUUGAAAAACCUCAUUUGGCUCUUUCUUGAAUUUUGUCCAGGGUACCCCUGUGGAAUCUGCAUCCUUGAGGCAGGGUGCCAGGAAACGAGGUUUAAAAGAAGCCUGUAAGGAGAGUUGGGGAGAAGAGUAGCAGGUCUGCUGAUAACAGGAGCCUUGUGGCAUCUCCUCCUAUACUUCCCACAUGCACAGCUUGAAGAGUCAAGACGAACUCUAACUCAUGGGAUGAACAAAAUGGAAGAUGUAAAUAAGGGAAAUGGGCCCCACUGAAGGCAGGAAAGUAACUCCAGACUUAUUAGGCAGGAGUGGGACACAUUUGGCGAAUUAUCUGGACCAUGUUCGCCAGCUGCAAGUUGGGACGAAAGCUGCGACGCUUAAAGCUCUUUCGGCAUUGGGGGCAGGUGAACUGCCGUGGAGGGGCUGGAGGCGGGGCCAGCUGGGUCACACACCCUCGGCAAAAGUUAUGACCACAGCCGAUGGACACAGGAUCCUUGAAGUAGUCCAGGCAGAUGGCACACACGGCUUCCUCCUGAAGUGUCUGCAAGGGAUUAGGAGCAGUGGCAC